RNAcentral lists this long non-coding RNA (1274 nucleotides) under Coturnix japonica (Japanese quail). RNAcentral's name for it is "lncRNA (ENSCJPG00005017057.1)". The record is from RNAcentral. Lineage: Eukaryota; Metazoa; Chordata; Aves; Galliformes; Phasianidae.
GGGCAGAGGCACUAACUCUUGUUAGCAGAGAAGCCCUCCUUCCUUCCCUAUAGCUCAGGCACAUCAGGGAAGGGGAGGGCUCGGGUUAGCGAACGGGCUGGGGAUCCCUCUGAGCCAUUUCUUCGAUUAUCUCGCACUUAAUACCCUAAGCAGCCUUGUGCUGUCCUCUUUAUUGGGCCUAAGUAGUGGAAUAAGCGUGAAAGGAAGAUCAUAUCCUUCUUCCUCAGCCGACUUCCUUCUGAUUAAAGGAGAUCAAAGGCUGAGGAGCAUCUAGCUGCUCUUGUGUGCAGCACAAGGGGAAGCCCACCUGUGUGUGUGGAGGUUUUCUUUCCUGCCCACUGAGAAGGGGCUGAGAAAAUGGCAGAAAAGCUAGGGGAAGGGGGCAGGUGUGAAGGCUGCUCGUGUGUCUGGGGUAGGACCAAGCACACUUUGUGUCAUGUUGCAUACACUGCAAGAAGUGCAGGGAAAAGACAGAACAAGUGAGAAAACAAUUAAGCGCUCACAGAUGUGCAGUGUUGAGCAUGUGCUGGUGGUGGGAGAGGAACUGAGAUGAUACUCCUUUGAUACCUACUGCAGAGAAAGCCAUACAUCUCUGGAAGCAUUGUGCACAUGGAAAUCACACCAGGAGGAGAGGAGAGGAGAGGAGAGGAGAGGAGAAAAGGAAAAGAGAAAAGAAAAAGAAAAAGAAAAAGAAAAAGAAAAAAAAGGAAAGAAGCAGGAGUCAGCAGAUAUGACAAAGCAGCAUGGAGAAAUGAAAGGAUCUUCUUGCUUGGGGGAGGAGGAAUGGUGUCUGCAACUCUGUGUACACUGAAUUCACUGUCUCCUCUGUCUCAGGAUAAUCAUCAGGCAGCUGGGUUUUGUGUAGAAAGCUCAGACUCACAGUUACAUUACCUAUUAGUUGGCAGUCCAGAGGAAAACAAUUAAAGGGUGUGAAGUCCUUGUAGUUUAGAGAAGACUGGAUACAUCACUUCUACACCUGAAGUUAUUUUACUUAUUACUGUAUCCUUAUACACUGUACACACUGACAUCUUUCAGGACGCAAAGAACAUAGGAGAUAAUCGUUUGCAUUCAAAAUUGUGAGAACAAUGAGACAAUUCUUCCUUCAUUUCAUCAGUGUGAUCAGUGAGAUUAUAUUGAUCCUUUGGCUGAAAUUCUAGUUGGCAAUUUGCUGAUGAUCUCUCUGGAAUACUGCUACUUUCUUUUAUUUAACCUUGGCUUCCUUCAUGUAACAAUAGCAAAAAAUUAAAAAAAAUAAAAAAAAUCUGAAAUUGUCA